RNAcentral lists this ribosomal RNA (253 nucleotides) under uncultured bacterium. RNAcentral describes it as "partial 16S ribosomal RNA". It matches the Rfam family "Bacterial small subunit ribosomal RNA", at positions 524 to 776 of the family's 1533-position model. The record is from RNAcentral.
GACGUAGGGCGCGAGCGUUGUCCGGAUUUAUUGGGCGUAAAGAGCUCGUAGGCGGCUUGUCGCGUCGACCGUGAAAACCCGUGGCUCAACUACGGGCUGGCGGUCGAUACGGGCAGGCUCGAGUUCGGUAGGGGAGACUGGAAUUCCUGGUGUAGCGGUGAAAUGCGCAGAUAUCAGGAGGAACACCGAUGGCGAAGGCAGGUCUCUGGGCAUUAACUGACGCUGAGGAGCGAAAGCAUGGGGAGCGAACAGG